This 253-nucleotide ribosomal RNA is filed under the name uncultured bacterium. Its description in RNAcentral is "partial 16S ribosomal RNA". It matches the Rfam family "Bacterial small subunit ribosomal RNA", at positions 524 to 776 of the family's 1533-position model. The record is from RNAcentral.
UACGGGGGGGGCAAGCGUUGUUCGGAAUUACUGGGCGUAAAGGGCGCGUAGGCGGUGCUCUAAGUCGGAUGUGAAAACUCUGGGCUCAACCCAGAGCCUGCAUCCGAAACUGGAGUGCUAGAGUUCUGGAGGGGGUAGCGGAAUUCCUGGUGUAGCGGUGAAAUGCGUAGAUAUCGUUUGGAACGCCAAUGGUGAAAACAGGUUGCUGGGAGUGUGCUGACGCUGAGACACGAAAGCCAGGGGAGCAAACGGG